UGUACAAAAUUGGUGCAUUUUAUGGGCCCAUUAAAUGGAAACACAACUGGUUGUACUCUUCUGCCACUUGGCACAGAUCAGGAAGGGGGAGGAGGGCACGGCCUCACGUCCAGGCAGGAGGCCGGCUAUAUGGAACAGUGUGGGAUUCCCCGGCAGGACACGGGCCUCUGAAAAGCUUGGGCUCCGAUUCUGCGGGAGGACUUCACGGGCGGGCUGUGUCUCCUGCACCGCGUAGUGAUGCUUCUCAGAGCGCCGCUUCUCAAAUGCGUCUGCUGGUGGCACUCUAAUGGCAGAGGAGGACAAAGCCAUCCCCAAAGGGCCUGGGAAGUGUUCAAAGGGACCAUGACCAGCGCCUGUCCUAUUUGAGGUCUUGUAUCACGUGAAUUUUGCAUCUGUCUUUAUUUCCACAGAAAAAUCGGGCUUUCAGUUCUUCAUUGGCUGGAGCCAGUCUGUAGGCCCGGGGGUGGGUCAGGACUCUUCCGUGCAGACAGGAACUGGAAGCCUGGACCGGGGUCAAGCACGGGAGCACUCUCGCCGGCCAGGACCGGACCUGAGCAAGGCUGUGUUGCCCACAGUCGCAGGCUGGUGAGGAGAAGGAGAGUUCCUGUCCAAACACAGAGGACUUUGACAGGAGGUGGGAACAGCAGGCUUUGUGCUGCCUUACCUGGAGGCCCCAUGGGUCAUGUCCUGCCACUCUCCCAGGACAAAUGUCAUCAUAUUUUUUUCCCUCAGCAUCACCAGUUGGCUUCUGACUGGAACUCUGACAGCUAAACAGACACACUUUCUGGUUUACAAGUUGUUAUUCUAUCACUGUAAGUAUUCGUCAACAUUUGUGUUUUAGUCAUAACAUAGCUAAUACAUAAUUUUGUUUGCUUCACAGCAAAUUAAAUAAAGCAUUGGCAGCACAUUAAAUAAAUGGUUAAAUUGCUUAGUUUUCUUUUUUUUUUCUCUCCAAGUCUUCAAGUAAAAUUGAAGCUCCAGACAGAUGCACCAUCUCUGUCCAGGAGCUCCAGACACCCCUCAGGGCUGCCAAUGUGCCCAGAGUUGUGAUAAACUAAGCCAGUACCACCACCGCAAUGAGUUGGCACAGAAGGAACACACAGAUGUUGGCAGUUUAAAUAGUACUGAUCAUGGC
Molecule: long non-coding RNA, 1135 nt
Filed under: Suricata suricatta (meerkat)
Lineage: Eukaryota; Metazoa; Chordata; Mammalia; Carnivora; Herpestidae
Description: lncRNA (ENSSSUG00005023415.1)
Source: RNAcentral